UUUUUUGUAAAAGAUAUUAUGUAUGGAGAAUUACAUAGAAGGUAUACCUCCCUUUUUCCAAAGUCCGAUAUUUGUUUCCUUUCUGUUAAAUUCAAUUAUAUUCGUGUUUCUGGCCUACGACCACAAUUAUUCUUCUCCUUUGCUACAAUGCUUCUUUUGGUAAAAGUCAAAUCAAAUUAAAAAUUUGCACCGUUUCAAACAUGAAAUAAAUGUAACUGCUUAUAUAUAGACCAUUAUUAGUCUAAAAAAUAUGCUUCUAUGACAAUUCAUCAGUGCUUUUUUUUUGAGAGCCUUAUUAACAUGCCAAUUGUAGGAUUUGAAUCAUGUAUAAAUGACUAAUACCGACUAAGGCUAAUUUGAGGGGUUGUCAAUCGGAGGGGUCCUGAUCCCGAAAUCCAGGGCUUAAAACCAUGAAACUGAGAUGCAGAAUUUAAAGAAAUUCAUAUCCCGAAAUCGAAAAAUAUAUUCCCGGAUCCCGUAAGGAUCAAUCCCCAAAUCCCGAGCUUAAAAACACCCGAUCCCGACGCCCCGAAAAAAAGGUCCUGCCUC
RNAcentral lists this long non-coding RNA (549 nucleotides) under Mytilus galloprovincialis (Mediterranean mussel). The record is from RNAcentral. Lineage: Eukaryota; Metazoa; Mollusca; Bivalvia; Mytilida; Mytilidae.